Molecule: ribosomal RNA, 485 nt
Filed under: uncultured bacterium
Lineage: Bacteria
Description: partial 16S ribosomal RNA
Rfam family: Bacterial small subunit ribosomal RNA
Source: RNAcentral
GAUGAACGCUGGCGGCGUGCUUAACACAUGCAAGUCGAACGGGAUCCCAGGGGUGCUUGCACUUUUUGGUGAGAGUGGCGAACGGGUGAGUAACACGUGAGUAACCUGUCCUUUUCUUUGGGAUAAGCAUUCCAAAGGGUGUUUAAUACCUUAUGUUCUGUCUGCCUCGCAUGGGGUGGGUGGGAAAGGCUUUGGCCGGAUUUGGGUGGGCUCGCGGUCUAUCAGCUUGUUGGUGGGGUGAUGGCUUACCAAGGCUUUGACGGGUAGCCGGCCUGAGAGGGUGGUCGGUCACAUGGGGACUGAGAUACGGCCCAGACUCCUGCGGGAGGCAGCAGUGGGGGAUAUUGCACAAUGGGCGAAAGCCUGAUGCAGCGACGCCGCGUGGGGGAUGAAGGCCUUCGGGUUGUAAACUUCUUUUGCUCUGAACAAGGCAUGCCAGUGGGUGUGUUGAGUGUAGGGGUUGAUUAGCGCCGGCUAACUACGUG